Molecule: ribosomal RNA, 973 nt
Filed under: Zoanthus sansibaricus
Lineage: Eukaryota; Metazoa; Cnidaria; Anthozoa; Zoantharia; Zoanthidae
Description: partial 16S ribosomal RNA
Rfam family: Bacterial large subunit ribosomal RNA
Source: RNAcentral
UUGUUUUGCCCAUGAGGGUAUAGGACCGUACCAAAUGUGCCAGGUAUAGAAUUUAUUUCCAAGCCCAUCCCCUUGGAAGACGGUAUCCUUCUGGCAGGGUACUGUACUAAACUAACUAAAGUGGGGGAUAGUGAGGGGAUAAAUUUUUCUUAAGGAACUCGGCAAAAUCCCAAUGGCCCACCAGGGCAUAUUGGAACACGGGCCUCGACUGUUUACCAAAAACAUAGCCCUCGGCUAAUAUGAAAAUAGAUGUAUAGAGGGUGAUGCCUGCCCAAUGGUUGUAUCUAAAAGCGGUUGAUAAAAGUUGACCUCGUAAGGACAAUUGAAUGGCCGCGGUAACACUGACCGUGAUAAUGUAGCGUAAUCAAUAGCCAAUUAAUUGUUGGCCAGUAUGAAUGGCGCCACGAAGGCCCCACUGUCUUAAGGAAAUUCCCAGUGAAAUUGAAUUCGUAGUGAAGAUGCUACGUCCAAUUUGUUAGACGAAAAGACCCCGUUGAGCUUUACUGGAGCACUUACAUGGCCCCGGCCUUCCCAUGCCUGGGAACCGGCCGAAUUUAAAUGGGCGGCUUAGAUUAUGUGGCAGCCCCCCGCUGGGGCAAAUGAAACACCACUCCCCCAUGUCAAAGGGGCUAACCCCCCCCCCUUGGGGGGACAGUGUAAGUAGGACAGUUUGGUUGGGGCGACCACCUUUUAAAAAGUAACGAAGGUGCGCUUAAGGUGCGCAAUUAAUGACUGAAGCCUGACUGCGAGGGGGACACCCCGAGCAGACACCCCAAAGCCCGCCCGAAAGGCGGCGGUGGGGUGGGCCAUAGUGACCCGUAAUUUAGAGUGGAAUAGUUAACGAUCAACGAAUAAAAGUUACCACGGGAUAACAGCGUAAUAUCGUUAGAGAGUUCACAUCGACGACGAUGUUGCGACCUCGAUGUGAUUGCGCAUCUGGGUGCAGCGCUCAAGUUGUGUCGCUGUGUGCAGA